This 800-nucleotide ribosomal RNA is filed under the name Microbacterium sp. JSM 2215065. RNAcentral describes it as "bacterial SSU rRNA". It matches the Rfam family "Bacterial small subunit ribosomal RNA", at positions 35 to 851 of the family's 1533-position model. The record is from RNAcentral. Lineage: Bacteria; Bacillati; Actinomycetota; Actinomycetes; Micrococcales; Microbacteriaceae.
GGCGGUGGCGUGCUGUACAUGCAGUCGACGGUGAAGAGAGCUUGCUCUCUGGAUCAGUGGCGAACGGGUGAGUAACACGUGAGCAAUCUGCCCUUGACUCUGGGAUAAGCGCUGGAAACGGCGUCUAAUACCGGAUACGAGCUGCGAAGGCAUCUUCAGCAGCUGGAAAGAACUUCGGUCAAGGAUGAGCUCGCGGCCUAUCAGCUUGUUGGUGAGGUAAUGGCUCACCAAGGCGUCGACGGGUAGCCGGCCUGAGAGGGUGACCGGCCACACUGGGACUGAGACACGGCCCAGACUCCUACGGGAGGCAGCAGUGGGGAAUAUUGCACAAUGGGCGCAAGCCUGAUGCAGCAACGCCGCGUGAGGGACGACGGCCUUCGGGUUGUAAACCUCUUUUAGCAGGGAAGAAGCGAAAGUGACGGUACCUGCAGAAAAAGCACCGGCUAACUACGUGCCAGCAGCCGCGGUAAUACGUAGGGUGCAAGCGUUAUCCGGAAUUAUUGGGCGUAAAGAGCUCGUAGGCGGUUUGUCACGUCUGCUGUGAAAACUGGAGGCUCAACCUCCAGCCUGCAGUGGGUACGGGCAGACUAGAGUGCGGUAGGGGAGAUUGGAAUUCCUGGUGUAGCGGUGGAAUGCGCAGAUAUCAGGAGGAACACCGAUGGCGAAGGCAGAUCUCUGGGCCGUAACUGACGCUGAGGAGCGAAAGGGUGGGGAGCAAACAGGCUUAGAUACCCUGGUAGUCCACCCCGUAAACGUUGGGAACUAGUUGUGGGGUCCAUUCCACGGAUUCCGUGACGCAG